GGGUUGUGAGGUUAAGCGACUAAGCGUACACGGUGGAUGCCCUGGCAGUCAGAGGCGAUGAAGGACGUGCUAAUCUGCGAUAAGCGUCGGUGAGGUGAUAUGAACCGUUAUAACCGGCGAUUUCCGAAUGGGGAAACCCAGUGUGUUUCGACACACUAUCAUUAACUGAAUCCAUAGGUUAAUGAGGCGAACCGGGGGAACUGAAACAUCUAAGUACCCCGAGGAAAAGAAAUCAACCGAGAUUCCCCCAGUAGCGGCGAGCGAACGGGGAGCAGCCCAGAGCCUGAAUCAGUGUGUGUGUUAGUGGAAGCGUCUGGAAAGGCGUGCGAUACAGGGUGACAGCCCCGUACACAAAAAUGCACAUACUGUGAGCUCGAUGAGUAGGGCGGGACACGUGGUAUCCUGUCUGAAUAUGGGGGGACCAUCCUCCAAGGCUAAAUACUCCUGACUGACCGAUAGUGAACCAGUACCGUGAGGGAAAGGCGAAAAGAACCCCGGCGAGGGGAGUGAAAAAGAACCUGAAACCGUGUACGUACAAGCAGUGGGAGCCUCUUAAUGGGGUGACUGCGUACCUUUUGUAUAAUGGGUCAGCGACUUAUAUUCUGUAGCAAGGUUAACCGAAUAGGGGAGCCGAAGGGAAACCGAGUCUUAACUGGGCGUUAAGUUGCAGGGUAUAGACCCGAAACCCGGUGAUCUAGCCAUGGGCAGGUUGAAGGUUGGGUAACACUAACUGGAGGACCGAACCGACUAAUGUUGAAAAAUUAGCGGAUGACUUGUGGCUGGGGGUGAAAGGCCAAUCAAACCGGGAGAUAGCUGGUUCUCCCCGAAAGCUAUUUAGGUAGCGCCUCGUGAAUUCAUCUCCGGGGGUAGAGCACUGUUUCGGCAAGGGGGUCAUCCCGACUUACCAACCCGAUGCAAACUGCGAAUACCGGAGAAUGUUAUCACGGGAGACACACGGCGGGUGCUAACGUCCGUCGUGAAGAGGGAAACAACCCAGACCGCCAGCUAAGGUCCCAAAGUCAUGGUUAAGUGGGAAACGAUGUGGGAAGGCCCAGACAGCCAGGAUGUUGGCUUAGAAGCAGCCAUCAUUUAAAGAAAGCGUAAUAGCUCACUGGUCGAGUCGGCCUGCGCGGAAGAUGUAACGGGGCUAAACCAUGCACCGAAGCUGCGGCAGCGACACUAUGUGUUGUUGGGUAGGGGAGCGUUCUGUAAGCCUGCGAAGGUGUACUGUGAGGUAUGCUGGAGGUAUCAGAAGUGCGAAUGCUGACAUAAGUAACGAUAAAGCGGGUGAAAAGCCCGCUCGCCGGAAGACCAAGGGUUCCUGUCCAACGUUAAUCGGGGCAGGGUGAGUCGACCCCUAAGGCGAGGCCGAAAGGCGUAGUCGAUGGGAAACAGGUUAAUAUUCCUGUACUUGGUGUUACUGCGAAGGGGGGACGGAGAAGGCUAUGUUGGCCGGGCGACGGUUGUCCCGGUUUAAGCGUGUAGGCUGGUUUUCCAGGCAAAUCCGGAAAAUCAAGGCUGAGGCGUGAUGACGAGGCACUACGGUGCUGAAGCAACAAAUGCCCUGCUUCCAGGAAAAGCCUCUAAGCAUCAGGUAACAUCAAAUCGUACCCCAAACCGACACAGGUGGUCAGGUAGAGAAUACCAAGGCGCUUGAGAGAACUCGGGUGAAGGAACUAGGCAAAAUGGUGCCGUAACUUCGGGAGAAGGCACGCUGAUAUGUAGGUGAAGUCCCUCGCGGAUGGAGCUGAAAUCAGUCGAAGAUACCAGCUGGCUGCAACUGUUUAUUAAAAACACAGCACUGUGCAAACACGAAAGUGGACGUAUACGGUGUGACGCCUGCCCGGUGCCGGAAGGUUAAUUGAUGGGGUUAGCGGUAACGCGAAGCUCUUGAUCGAAGCCCCGGUAAACGGCGGCCGUAACUAUAACGGUCCUAAGGUAGCGAAAUUCCUUGUCGGGUAAGUUCCGACCUGCACGAAUGGCGUAAUGAUGGCCAGGCUGUCUCCACCCGAGACUCAGUGAAAUUGAACUCGCUGUGAAGAUGCAGUGUACCCGCGGCAAGACGGAAAGACCCCGUGAACCUUUACUAUAGCUUGACACUGAACAUUGAGCCUUGAUGUGUAGGAUAGGUGGGAGGCUUUGAAGUGUGGACGCCAGUCUGCAUGGAGCCGACCUUGAAAUACCACCCUUUAAUGUUUGAUGUUCUAACGUUGGCCCCUUACCGGGGUUGCGGACAGUGUCUGGUGGGUAGUUUGACUGGGGCGGUCUCCUCCUAAAGAGUAACGGAGGAGCACGAAGGUUGGCUAAUCCUGGUCGGACAUCAGGAGGUUAGUGCAAUGGCAUAAGCCAGCUUGACUGCGAGCGUGACGGCGCGAGCAGGUGCGAAAGCAGGUCAUAGUGAUCCGGUGGUUCUGAAUGGAAGGGCCAUCGCUCAACGGAUAAAAGGUACUCCGGGGAUAACAGGCUGAUACCGCCCAAGAGUUCAUAUCGACGGCGGUGUUUGGCACCUCGAUGUCGGCUCAUCACAUCCUGGGGCUGAAGUAGGUCCCAAGGGUAUGGCUGUUCGCCAUUUAAAGUGGUACGCGAGCUGGGUUUAGAACGUCGUGAGACAGUUCGGUCCCUAUCUGCCGUGGGCGCUGGAGAACUGAGGGGGGCUGCUCCUAGUACGAGAGGACCGGAGUGGACGCAUCACUGGUGUUCGGGUUGUCAUGCCAAUGGCACUGCCCGGUAGCUAAAUGCGGAAGAGAUAAGUGCUGAAAGCAUCUAAGCACGAAACUUGCCCCGAGAUGAGUUCUCCCUGACUCCUUGAGAGUCCUGAAGGAACGUUGAAGACGACGACGUUGAUAGGCCGGGUGUGUAAGCGCAGCGAUGCGUUGAGCUAACCGGUACUAAUGAACCGUGAGGCUUAACCUUACAACGCCGAAGGUGUUU
This 2931-nucleotide ribosomal RNA is filed under the name Escherichia coli. RNAcentral's name for it is "bacterial LSU rRNA". It matches the Rfam family "Bacterial large subunit ribosomal RNA". The record is from RNAcentral. Lineage: Bacteria; Pseudomonadati; Pseudomonadota; Gammaproteobacteria; Enterobacterales; Enterobacteriaceae.